UCGGGAAUUUUGGGCAAUGGGCGAAAGCCUGACCCAGCAACGCCGCGUGAAGGAUGAAGUAUUUCGGUAUGUAAACUUCGAAAGAAUAGGAAGAAUAAAUGACGGUACUAUUUAUAAGGUCCGGCUAACUACGUGCCAGCAGCCGCGGUAAUACGUAGGGACCAAGCGUUGUUCGGAUUUACUGGGCGUAAAGGGCGCGUAGGCGGCAAUUCAAGUCAUCUGUGAAAUCUCCGGGCUUAACUCGGAACGGUCAGAUGAUACUGCUUUGCUAGAGUGCAGAAGGGGCAAUCGGAAUUCUUGGUGUAGCGGUGAAAUGCGUAGAUAUCAAGAGGAACACCUGAGGUGAAGACGGGUUGCUGGGCUGGACACGGACGCUGAGGCGCGAAAGCCAGGGGAGCAAACGGGAUUAGAUACCCCAGUAGUCCCUGAGCGGGCUGGCAAGGCGCAU
Molecule: ribosomal RNA, 448 nt
Filed under: uncultured bacterium
Lineage: Bacteria
Description: bacterial SSU rRNA
Rfam family: Bacterial small subunit ribosomal RNA
Source: RNAcentral